GGUCACCGAGCUGCCCUCUCCCCCUCGGAGGUGUUACCGCGUAAAGGGCCCCUUGCCUGCCACAGCAUCUCUGAGCUUCAGUGCCUAAAGGGAGCUUAAAGUUGGGGCCGGACUUUUUUUCCCAGACGAGGGGUAAUGAUUUUAAACCACUUUGACAGAUUCUGCCGAGAUAUUAGGAAGAAAUGUUUUGUGCUGACAGUGGUCAACCACUGGGCAGAGGUUGCCCAGAGAAGUGGUGGAUGCCCCAUCCCUGGGAGCAUUCACAGACAGGCUGGACAAGGCUCGGAGCAAACUGAUCUAUUUGAAGAUGUCACUGCUCUUUGCAAGGGGUUUGGACUUGAUGGCCUUUAAAGGUCCCUUCCAAUCCAAACCAUUCUGUGUUUGGAAGUGCCCCGUUUCAGACAGAAGCAGGUUCCUCCCAGUGAACAGCAGUUUGUAUCCUGCUUGUUAAAUAUCUGGGAACUUUGCAAGGGAAAACUGAGCAGAAACCACCGUGACAUAGUCGGGAGUAGAUGUUUGCCCAGUGACUAAAUUCCUUACUAAUGUCAGACAGCUCAUCUCCCAGUAAUCCCAUGCAGUUGCUUUGGAGCAUUUGUUUCUUUGGCAAUAUCAUUACAAAACCCCAGCAGAUUUAUACUAGCCCACAGCAGCACCUGGCUAUUAUAGCAAUGUAUGGGAAUGGGAAUGUACACAAGAAUAUUCAUGUUGAAAGAAGGAGAGAAGUCCUAAUGAGAUCGGAAAUUCCCAGCCUGUUACAGAUUUGAGGCUGGCUUUGGAGACGGCUCUGCUCUUGCUGAUUUCAGCUGGCAGUCAGAACACUCGGCUCUCCAGGGAGAUCUUUACACCUCUUUUAUAAAUAAAUCUAUUUUUCAGUGAUCUUCUGCAUAGUAUGGCUUUUCUACUCAUCUUAACAAAGAAUAUGCAAUUUAAAGAAAAUCUAUCUAGAAAAACACAACAGCCUUUAGAGAAGGAUAGUGCUAAUAAGAAAGUAAUUAAGUGGUUACAUGACUGCAGAGAAAUGAAUAAACAGGAGUUUUACAUUCACAUGAGCAGGAAUAAAGAGAUUCUGAGGGGCUCAAAUCAGAUCUGAUGCCUUCAUUAAUUUAAGGAAAUAGGGAGGUCUGGAGUUUUUAUUUUCUUCCACUGGAGAACAAGGAAAGUAUUUAAUUUAUGUUAAAUGUCCUAUCAGACUUCCCAUCUUCAUAAAGUUCAGUAUUUCCCCACUAAAAGUAAUUCUUAUCUCAGCUUUAUAUUACCCUUAAGUUCUUCUUCUCUCUUUUUUCUCCCCAAUAUCUAAACAUGGAAAAAGCUUAGACUUCCUAAGAAGUUAGACUUCCUAAAAUGGUUGUGUGUUUAUGUCCGUUACAAACCUUAACACUACUCUGUCAUUUGUAAUUCUGAUGCAGGAACACAGAACCAGAAACCGCCCACUGUCUGGCUGCUCUUAUGUUGUCCUCAGUCUUCCCAGUGGUUUGCCAGAAUUUCCAAACAGGAACAUCACCAUCUAAUCCCUUUGUAAGCUCUAUGAACAUUUGCUGGCCAGGCUAACAUCAUCUCGCAUGGGGUGCCUGUCAUGCAAGACAGUUUUCCACAAACUUCUUCAUCAUGAGUCCCUCCCAUCAGGUUCUUCUUUUCCUCUUCUUAUACAUGUUAUCCCAGAGGUGCUACCACUGUCACUGAAGGACUCAGCCUUGGCCAGUGCUGGGUCUGUGUUGGAACUGGCUGGCAUUGGCUUCAAGCAACUUCUCAGAGAAGCUAUCCCUGCUACCAAAUCCUUGCCACACAAAUCCAACACCUCUACCCCAAAACACCCUGAUCCUCAGAGUACAGUUCAAAUGGAGGUGCAUCAUCCUAUGUGAUGCUACCCGAGCACCUAGGAGGUAGGACAGCAUGCUCUGAAGGUGAAUGCUGUUAGAUAGGCACCCUGCUAAAAUCAGACUUUUCCCCUCUGCAAAAAGUGAGGGCCGUAGGUGAAGAACUGUCACUCUAAUGACAAGACUUGAUCUCCCAAGUAUAAAAGUAACUUAAUCUGCUUUGCUAUUGCUUCACCUUUGUUUUGAAGAUGAAGAAAGAAGAAAAAUUUGAAGAGUAAGAGACACUUCUCCUUUCAUGUACCUUUUAACGAAACUUUCCCCUGACAUAAUUAUCAACUUUUACUUCAGUGUAUUUUUUUGAGAAGGUAAACACUCCUGUGAACCUGUCAAUUCAUCCACAUGUCUAUUUUGGCUAUUGCAACUGAUAAACAAUUCCCUAAGUCUGUCUUUUUAUUGAAGACAAAUAAUUUCUUUGUAAUUGUUCCAUCUUGAUUUUUUGUUUGUUUGUUUGUUUGUUUUGUUGCCUAAAACAUUUCUGGUUUUUCUCUCUUUUUGGUUCUGCCUCUAUAUUGGCAGUGAUGGGAAGAUCUUGAUUUUUAGUCCUAAUGUAGGAUAAAUGUGAAAGCGUUGUAAGCAAACCUAUCCUCUAAGGCUGGAGGCAAGCAAGAGAAGCACGUAUCAUUUUACAUUCUUCCUCCCUGCUCUAGAGUCAUUUCCCAGAAAAGAACAGGAAUCAGCUGGGUCAGAUUUGGGGGCCAGAGUUACUGGAUCAGCUUGACGUGUUGUGCAAGUGGAUUGAAGCUCCCACGGGUUGAAAAAUAAUUGCAUCUGCAGUUAGCGUGCGCCCACACACAAUGAAAGCUCCAUCAAGAAUGUCUAAUUUGGCUUUCACCUCUCAUUAGCUUAAUGCAAAAUGCCCUGGUCCAGCUGGAAACGGUGUAAAAAUAAUACAGUUUAAUCCUUGUUAACAUUAUUUGCUGUUUUUAUGGUAUUCUUCUUCUGCAAGUGUUGAAGGGUGUUGUAGCAGCCAUUUCACGUGUGCCAUAUACUGCAUUUCACUGGUGAGCUUUGCUGACUGGCUCACCACAGUGAUGUCAACACACUUCUGGGAUUAAUCAUCAUGGACAUGUGAAUUUAACAAGGGAGUCCAGGGAAGAGGAAAAAAUGGGAUAAAAUAAGAAAAAAACAUGUAUAUGCUGGUUAAUCAAAAACAUUCCUGUCCUUUGUUUAUAGGAAAUACACCUUUCCUUUGAGUAUGGAAUCAUAUCAUUUGCCUUGAAAUGCCCUAUAAAUUACACAAAACAAGUUGCAAGAAAAUACUGAAAAGCUAUAAAGAGAAGCACAUGAAUUCUGAACUAUACUGCUUUUGAGGAGCAAACCUCCCACUUCAGCUUCCUUCCCACUUCCAGUGUGUGCAACAGCUAAAUAAACACCUCAAAGACUGAGACAGUGUUGUCCCUACCAAUUGUUGUCAGUAAGAGAUUCCACUCCAUACUUGUUUCACCAAGAAAGAAAUCAUUAAAGUAAUAAUCAUAAAGCAAUUAUUAUAAAGGCACACGGGCAUAGACUCUUAUGGUCAACCUGGGGAAAAUUCUGCUGAGAAAAUAUUCAAUCACCUCACACUGAGAGAAAAAAAGAGGUAUUUUUUGUCUCUUUUGUGAGAGAAUGUUCACUUGAGUAAUUUUUAGGAUGGUACUUUCUACUGUGCUCUGGCUCUCAGCCCCAGAACAAGCUUGGUGAAUCCUGAGCUGACGGGACGUGUAUUCAGUGCAGAUGUCCAUGAGGCAGGUGGAAGAGGAGCCAAUGCAGACUCAAAGAGAGCAAUCAAGAUGCAGUUCAUCGUGCUUGAAACACAGCUGCUGUAUGAGAUAGUAUUUGCUUUCACUGGGUAAACCAAAGCAGCUUUCAGCCAGCUGUACUGGCUGAAAUUCUCAUCCAGCUGCCCAAAGAGUACCCCAUGCUGGUGAGAAUUAGGGCACUCACAGAGUGUUCCAGCUGAAUUUGCAAGUAUUUCAUCUCCUCUGUUAAGAUCAGGUCAAGCAGAUGAUUUAUGACCUUACACCAUGGUUGUGACUAAAGACCUAACUUAACAUGGAGAGCUUGAGCCUGGUCACUGUGCCAGCUCUGAGACUGAGCCUUGCUCCACAGAGCUUGGAAAUGCAUGAACCAAAGGUGAGACAAGCCCGUAAUGGAGAAGAGGAUGUGUCAGAGGGAGCAGAACCCGGGCUGCUGGUGCCUGUACACACUGGACAGGGCAGGAACAUCCAGCUGCAGCAAUACAGCACAUCUGUCUCAGCACUUGUAGGAUGCAGCUUCUCUCUGUUGUGCAUGCCAGCUGUGUGGAGAAGAAGGAGUUGAAGGCUCAUGACUUUCUCAACAAAUAUGGAAGGAAGGAGAUGGGAUUUUUACUGCCUGCCAGGCAUACAGCUCCACAUGGUCUUUUACGUAUUUGUGAAAAUGUGAGCCAUAUGAGCACAUUUCAUUCCCUUGAUAACUUCUUAAAGCAGUUCUCCUGCCAAAGCAUUUCUUCUGCUGAAGUGGUUCCACAGGCUAAGUCUGCCCCUGCACCCCUGACCAGGUCUGGUGAGUCACUUCUUGGGGGAAGCAAGUGACUCAGGAGGAGCAAGGGAGAGCAACAAACAUAAAGGCCAAAGUGCAUUAGAGUCAGGACCCUUCUGAUUAAUGUAGCUAUGUACUCAGAUAAUUAUGUUAUCAGCAUGAUCGGUGUUGUACUGACACUGGAUCUAGUCCACUCAACCCUCUGGACAUAGGAUUAAGUCCAUCUCUGCAGGAUAAAAUGGAAUUUUCCACAAUGAAACAGAAUUAUUUGCAUUGCUAUCCAUAUAGGAUCAGAAGAAGUUCCCUGAGUUGGAGGUGUGUUUGGGAGCUAUUCUAUUACAGUGUUUAUCAAGGAUACACAUGAAGCUAAAUGAGCAAUAUAACUCUUCAUGAUCUGUCAUAAUACAUAAAAUAUUGAUCAUUAAUUUUAAAAAAUGUGUCCAGCUAUAAUAAUGAUCCGUGGAACAUUUUGGACUCAACAAAUCAAGUCUAUAGACUGAAAUUAUGCAGCACUUAAUUUUGGUCAAAAGCUUAAUUAUUUCCAAGUUAUUCAUGGUGGUUAGAUGAAUUGUAGGAAACAUAGUGCUUACAGCACUUGAAUGCUGAUUCUGAUUAGUUUUUGAAUAGGAGUGGUAUUCAGCGAUGCUUAAAUGCAGGGCUUUGAGCCAAGGCUUGUUACCUGAAAAUACAUGCACGAAGCACCUCAAUGGCUUAUAGAAAUUUUCUCUUGCCAAAACAUUUAAAGUGUUCUUGUUGAUAUCUCCGAAUUGACUUGGCAGGUCUGCACAGGGAGUGCAGAAACAUUUGUUACUGCUUAUUCAAUGAUUUUAUGCCACAAAACAAACAGCCCCGGAGCUGAGUGGUUACUCUCCCGUUGAUUAGUUACCAUGGGGCUUUUUCCUCAUCAUAGCCUUGAUGUGAAAAUGAUGAGACAAUCAGACUUCUGCAAAGAUUGCAACUCGUAUACAUGAAAGGUCUUAUCCUGUCAUCUUUUGCCCUUUGCCUGAGACGUCACAAGCGGGGCUGGAUGGAGCGGCAGAGCGGAGAGGGAUGCGAAAAGCUGUGCCCUGAGCCAGGGGGAGGUGGGGCACAGGCUGUGAGCCAGUUCUGCCCCUGGCCACACUUCUCAUGCAAUAAGGCUCGCUCAUUCACGUAAAGAAGAGGAGCGGGAUUUAUCCCCGAGCGUGCUUCAAUAAACA
Passer domesticus (house sparrow) is the source of this 5572-nucleotide long non-coding RNA. RefSeq lists it as uncharacterized. NCBI's taxonomy places the organism in Eukaryota, Metazoa, Chordata, Aves, Passeriformes, Passeridae. The record is from RefSeq and is a predicted model, not a curated record. The transcript has 4 exons.